This is a small nuclear RNA of Artibeus jamaicensis (Jamaican fruit-eating bat), 102 nucleotides long. Lineage: Eukaryota; Metazoa; Chordata; Mammalia; Chiroptera; Phyllostomidae. The record is from RefSeq and is a predicted model, not a curated record.
UUGCUUCAGCAGCACAUAUACUAAACUGGAAUGAUACACAGAAGAUUAGCAUGGUCACUGAGAAAACAUGAUGUGCAAAUUCUUUAAGUGUUCCAUAUUUUC